AUUGAACGCUGGCGGCAGGCCUAACACAUGCAAGUCGAGCGGAUGAAGGGAGCUUGCUCCUGGAUUCAGCGGCGGACUGGUGAGUAAUGCCUAGGAAUCUGCCUGGUUGUGGGGGAUAACGUCCGGAAACGGGCGCUAAUACCGCAUACGUCCUGAGGGAGAAAGUGGGGGAUCUUCGGACCUCACGCUAUCACAUGAGCCUAGGUCGGAUUAGCUAGUUGGUGGGGUAAAGGCCUACCAAGGCGACGAUCCGUAACUGGUCUGAGAGGAUGAUCAGUCACACUGGAACUGAGACACGGUCCAGACUCCUACGGGAGGCAGCAGUGGGGAAUAUUGGACAAUGGGCGAAAGCCUGAUCCAGCCAUGCCGCGUGUGUGAAGAAGGUCUUCGGAUUGUAAAGCACUUUAAGUUGGGAGGAAGGGCAGUAAGUUAAUACCUUGCUGUUUUGACGUUACCAACAGAAUAAGCACCGGCUAACUUCGUG
This 484-nucleotide ribosomal RNA is filed under the name uncultured bacterium. Its description in RNAcentral is "partial 16S ribosomal RNA". It matches the Rfam family "Bacterial small subunit ribosomal RNA", at positions 30 to 507 of the family's 1533-position model. The record is from RNAcentral.